Molecule: ribosomal RNA, 441 nt
Filed under: uncultured bacterium
Lineage: Bacteria
Description: partial 16S ribosomal RNA
Rfam family: Bacterial small subunit ribosomal RNA
Source: RNAcentral
CCUACGGGAGGCUGCAGUCGGGAAUAUUGCGCAAUGGAGGAAACUCUGACGCAGUGACGCCGCGUGCAGGAAGAAGGUUUUCGGAUUGUAAACUGCUUUAGACAGGGAAGAAAAAAGCCAGUACCUGUAGAAUAAGCCCCGGCCAACUACGUGCCAGCAGCCGCGGUAAUACGUAGGGGGCAAGCGUUAUCCGGAUUUCUUGGGUGUAAAGGGGGGGCAGGCGGGGGGGCAAGCCAGGAGUGAAAGCCCGGGGCCCAACCCCGGGACUGCUCUUGGAACUGCGGGGCUAGAGUGCAGGAGGGGCAGGCGGAAUUCCUGGUGUAGCGGUGAAAUGCGUAGAUAUCAGGAGGAACACCAGUGGCGAAGGCGGCCUGCUGGACUGCAACUGACGGUGAGGCCCGAAAGCGUGGGGAGCAAACAGGAUUAGAUACCCGGGUAGUC